Non-coding RNA from Neolamprologus brichardi, 621 nucleotides. NCBI's taxonomy places the organism in Eukaryota, Metazoa, Chordata, Actinopteri, Cichliformes, Cichlidae. The record is from RefSeq and is a predicted model, not a curated record.
CAACAACCACGCACAUUUGGAGGUGCUAACUUGUAAUGGAAAUGUUGAUCUGAGUCAACAGAUCAAGUCAAGUCGCUCCGAGUAGGGGCAGGAUUCUUUUGGGAUUCCUGCUCUUCGUCCCAGCACACCUAGUGUUAAUGAGCACACCUGUGAUUCAUUAUGUGAUUCCACUGCCUCUACUUAAAUGGAGAGACGCCCUUCAUCCAGUGCCUGAUCAUCAAUCAUCACCUUUAAUGUCCGUCUGUGCUGGAAAUCCUGCUAUGUUUGUCUUGUGUCUUCUGAGAGUUGUUCUGUUUGUUGGGUUGCUAUUUUGCGGAUCUGAGCCUGUGCAAAAUUAAGAGCAUUUGCCUCAAGACAUUGUUGCAUAUUUCCUGCUUGUAGAUAAACUAUUGAACUUUUAUUCUAAAGGACCCACAUUUGAGUCCACCUGCGUUAAUCCCCCUGACCAAAUGAUAUGUUUUCUCCCUUGUGAUGCUCUACUUUGCCACCUUCAGUUGCUGUUUGUUUUUCUUCAGUUUUGUAUUUAAUAACUGAAAGCAUAUUUUGGCUUACUCCUGGCUCUAACUCCUCAACAGAUGUUUGUGUAACCCCUUGAAUUAAAGCUGAAAGCCUCCACAUAAA